RNAcentral lists this long non-coding RNA (1997 nucleotides) under Olea europaea subsp. europaea. The record is from RNAcentral. Lineage: Eukaryota; Viridiplantae; Streptophyta; Magnoliopsida; Lamiales; Oleaceae.
GUCUUGCUUCACCCUUUUCUGAGGGAAUUUUGCUUAUAAAAAAGGCUAAAAUGAGAACGAAACCCUAAAUCUGAAGAAGAAGAAAAAGAGACCACUUCUCUCUCCUGAAGGUCUAAUCUAUCUUCAAAGCCGCCACCGGUCUAAUGCUUCAAUUUUUCUCUUCAUAUCCGACGAUUAGGUACCCAUUUGUGCAUCUAUUGCUGAUCUAUACAAAUUUAGUUUCUAUAAUUGUGUUCAACUUCCAUGUUAGGGAUCUGGUAAGAAUUUCUUCCGUAUUGUUGAAUAGAGGAGAGAAAUUUUGAUUUAUAUUCGUAUGUUUUAUGUUUUAUGUUUUCAUUUUCAUUUUUUUUUUUUUGGGGAUAAAUAGAGCUUGGAUCUGUCCUUAAUUUGAAGAAACUGCAAUAUAAAAUUCCCAAUUGAAACCUUUUUGGUCAAGUCAUAAAGAAAAUGGGACUCAAUUAAUAAGUUGAUUUUAUUGGUUUUAAUGUUAAUGAAAUGAGUAUAUCCUCAAAACCGCAAUAUGUUCAUUGGAAAGAUGUAUAGUCGAUCUCAAUGAAAAUUUGUUGACAACUUUGAAAGAGAAGUCAGAUACAGGUCUAAUUUUGUUCCAUUCUUUUGUCUUUGCCAGAAGAAAAUGGUGCUAGAGUUCUUCGUUUUCAAGGGGCUUGACAAUUUACUAAAUUUGGAAGGGAAGUCUUGUGUAGAGAUGAAUCACCUGGUGCUCCACUUGAAAACUGUUAUGAAAGUUGGAGUUGCAAAAAAUGAUAUAGCUGGAAGAAAUCGUGAUCUUGGCAUGGGAGGCAUAGGAAAUGUUAUUUCUCGAUUACUCUACUUACAAGGUACAGGUCCUAUGUAUACAAAAUUAGAAAAUUCUUAUAAUGAAUUAGUAGAACUAUUUAUUUGUUAUUCUUUUGAAAAUAGUUACUGGCAAAUGUCAUUGUUAGAAUUCCUGAAUAUGAUAUUAAUUGUUUUUGUAAAAUCAUUGCAUUAUUUUAAUGUUUAAUACGUUGGUAAUGACUAGUUAUCUCCUAUUUAUAGAAUGAGCUGUGUUUUAGUUAUAAACAAAUAUAUAGAUUACAAAUCCAAAAAUUUCUUUGUUUAGAUUUAACCUAUAAUUACUUUAUGGGAAGGAUUUCCUUUGGGGGUAAAAGUUGUUGAUUUGGUAAUAUUUUUUUGUAUGGUUCAUAUUUGCACAAAUUGGAGCGUGAUUGUACAUUGUUUGAGGUGUUCGAUUAUACACUCAAAGAUUUUGUGUUUAAUUAGUGUUAGCAGGAUACUUGAUUCUUUGUUAUUAUCUUGUGAGCAAUACUUAGUCAGUGAAUAAGGUUGUGUUCAGCAUUUUCUUAUGUGUUAAUGAAUUCACGAUCUACCAUUAACGAUUUAACAGGUCAAGUUAUAUUAUGAAAACAAUAGAGAGACAUUUUUGUUUUCCCCCCUUUACGAUGCUCCUUUUGUGAUUUUUGUCUAUAUAUAAUUCCUUAUUUACAGAGUCGUGGACUUGCUGAACCUGCGAUCAGUCAUCCAUAUCUCUCUCUCAAUUAAAAUCAUUCUUGUGACCGGUUUAGUACUAAUAGUAAUAGGCCUCCAUAAGCUGUUUCGAAGGUAUUGGCCGAGAAGGACCCACUUGAAUGAAGAGGAGAGCCACGAAGAAGAAGCUGCAAAUAAUCAUAAUGGGCCGACGGAAGAAAUCGAGCUUAGCGUUGUGGCUUCUCCGUCCGCCAUGCUUGAAAGUGAGUGAGGUUUGAGAAUUCCAAGAAUUGACGUACUGAUAAAAUAUGCUGAAGCUUCAGACAUUCUCAAUGAAUGGCAUGUCGUGUAAUAGUCCACAUAUAUACUUCUAUAUUUUAGGGUAUUUGAAUUUCAUGAUGUAGAACAUUUAUAUUUGGAAAUUUUAAGCAUUUUUAGUUUAAUUUUUAUUUAAGAGAAAAUCGAAACAUUAAACUGUAACUUUUUUAAGGUAUGUACACUCAAAGAUAAUCAAGUAUCACAAGAUAACC